GGCACCUAACAAUUGGCAGGAUACAUGAGUGACACAUCACGCGGCAGAGGCUGGCAUGCCGUACUUACUCAUUGAGAACCAAGCUCUUUCCGACCUCCGACAAGGGGCACAGUUCUUAGCAGCGCGCCUCACUUGGUCCUCACCACCUGGCACCUGCAGCUGUUCCACAUGGGUUACGCCGUGUAGUGGAAGGGAGGAGCACCAUGUCUGCCCUUCGGC
Non-coding RNA from Pelobates cultripes (western spadefoot toad), 219 nucleotides. The record is from the annotation of a GenBank genome assembly. NCBI's taxonomy places the organism in Eukaryota, Metazoa, Chordata, Amphibia, Anura, Pelobatidae.